This 253-nucleotide ribosomal RNA is filed under the name uncultured organism. RNAcentral's name for it is "partial 16S ribosomal RNA". It matches the Rfam family "Bacterial small subunit ribosomal RNA", at positions 524 to 776 of the family's 1533-position model. RNAcentral also lists the same sequence under 1 other name. The record is from RNAcentral.
UACGUAGGGGGCAAGCGUUAUCCGGAUUUACUGGGUGUAAAGGGAGCGUAGGUGGUAUGGCAAGUCAGAGGUGAAAACCCAGGGCUUAACCUUGGGAUUGCCUUUGAAACUGUCAGACUAGAGUGCAGGAGGGGUAAGUGGAAUUCCUAGUGUAGCGGUGAAAUGCGUAGAUAUUAGGAGGAACACCAGUGGCGAAGGCGGCUUACUGGACUGUAACUGACACUGAGGCUCGAAAGCGUGGGGAGCAAACAGG